AGGGCGCACGGUGGAUGCCUUGGCACUAGAAGCCGAUGAAGGACGUUACUAACGACGAUAUGCUUUGGGGAGCUGUAAGUAAGCUUUGAUCCAGAGAUUUCCGAAUGGGGAAACCCAGCAUGAGUUAUGUCAUGUUAUCGAUAUGUGAAUACAUAGCAUAUCAGAAGGCACACCCGGAGAACUGAAACAUCUUAGUACCCGGAGGAAGAGAAAGAAAAUUCGAUUCCCUUAGUAGCGGCGAGCGAAACGGGAAGAGCCCAAACCAACAAGCUUGCUUGUUGGGGUUGUAGGACACUCUAUACGGAGUUACAAAGGACGACAUUAGACGAAUCAUCUGGAAAGAUGAAUCAAAGAAGGUAAUAAUCCUGUAGUCGAAAAUGUUGUCUCUCUUGAGUGGAUCCUGAGUACGACGGAGCACGUGAAAUUCCGUCGGAAUCUGGGAGGACCAUCUCCUAAGGCUAAAUACUCUCUAGUGACCGAUAGUGAACCAGUACCGUGAGGGAAAGGUGAAAAGCACCCCGGAAGGGGAGUGAAAUAGAACCUGAAACCGUGUGCUUACAAGUAGUCAGAGCCCGUUAAUGGGUGAUGGCGUGCCUUUUGUAGAAUGAACCGGCGAGUUACGAUUUGAUGCAAGGUUAAGCAGUAAAUGUGGAGCCGUAGCGAAAGCGAGUCUGAAUAGGGCGUUUAGUAUUUGGUCGUAGACCCGAAACCAGGUGAUCUACCCUUGGUCAGGUUGAAGUUCAGGUAACACUGAAUGGAGGACCGAACCGACUUACGUUGAAAAGUGAGCGGAUGAACUGAGGGUAGCGGAGAAAUUCCAAUCGAACCUGGAGAUAGCUGGUUCUCUCCGAAAUAGCUUUAGGGCUAGCCUCAAGUGAUGAUUAUUGGAGGUAGAGCACUGUUUGGACGAGGGGCCCCUCUCGGGUUACCGAAUUCAGACAAACUCCGAAUGCCAAUUAAUUUAACUUGGGAGUCAGAACAUGGGUGAUAAGGUCCGUGUUCGAAAGGGAAACAGCCCAGACCACCAGCUAAGGUCCCAAAAUAUAUGUUAAGUGGAAAAGGAUGUGGCGUUGCCCAGACAACUAGGAUGUUGGCUUAGAAGCAGCCAUCAUUUAAAGAGUGCGUAAUAGCUCACUAGUCGAGUGACACUGCGCCGAAAAUGUACCGGGGCUAAACAUAUUACCGAAGCUGUGGAUUGUCCUUUGGACAAUGGUAGGAGAGCGUUCUAAGGGCGUUGAAGCAUGAUCGUAAGGACAUGUGGAGCGCUUAGAAGUGAGAAUGCCGGUGUGAGUAGCGAAAGACGGGUGAGAAUCCCGUCCACCGAUUGACUAAGGUUUCCAGAGGAAGGCUCGUCCGCUCUGGGUUAGUCGGGUCCUAAGCUGAGGCCGACAGGCGUAGGCGAUGGAUAACAGGUUGAUAUUCCUGUACCACCUAUAAUCGUUUUAAUCGAUGGGGGGACGCAGUAGGAUAGGCGAAGCGUGCGAUUGGAUUGCACGUCUAAGCAGUAAGGCUGAGUAUUAGGCAAAUCCGGUACUCGUUAAGGCUGAGCUGUGAUGGGGAGAAGACAUUGUGUCUUCGAGUCGUUGAUUUCACACUGCCGAGAAAAGCCUCUAGAUAGAAAAUAGGUGCCCGUACCGCAAACCGACACAGGUAGUCAAGAUGAGAAUUCUAAGGUGAGCGAGCGAACUCUCGUUAAGGAACUCGGCAAAAUGACCCCGUAACUUCGGGAGAAGGGGUGCUCUUUAGGGUUAACGCCCAGAAGAGCCGCAGUGAAUAGGCCCAAGCGACUGUUUAUCAAAAACACAGGUCUCUGCUAAACCGUAAGGUGAUGUAUAGGGGCUGACGCCUGCCCGGUGCUGGAAGGUUAAGAGGAGUGGUUAGCUUCUGCGAAGCUACGAAUCGAAGCCCCAGUAAACGGCGGCCGUAACUAUAACGGUCCUAAGGUAGCGAAAUUCCUUGUCGGGUAAGUUCCGACCCGCACGAAAGGCGUAACGAUUUGGGCACUGUCUCAACGAGAGACUCGGUGAAAUCAUAGUACCUGUGAAGAUGCAGGUUACCCGCGACAGGACGGAAAGACCCCGUGGAGCUUUACUGUAGCCUGAUAUUGAAAUUCGGCACAGCUUGUACAGGAUAGGUAGGAGCCUUUGAAACGUGAGCGCUAGCUUACGUGGAGGCGCUGGUGGGAUACUACCCUAGCUGUGUUGGCUUUCUAACCCGCACCACUUAUCGUGGUGGGAGACAGUGUCAGGCGGGCAGUUUGACUGGGGCGGUCGCCUCCUAAAAGGUAACGGAGGCGCUCAAAGGUUCCCUCAGAAUGGUUGGAAAUCAUUCAUAGAGUGUAAAGGCAUAAGGGAGCUUGACUGCGAGACCUACAAGUCGAGCAGGGUCGAAAGACGGACUUAGUGAUCCGGUGGUUCCGCAUGGAAGGGCCAUCGCUCAACGGAUAAAAGCUACCCCGGGGAUAACAGGCUUAUCUCCCCCAAGAGUUCACAUCGACGGGGAGGUUUGGCACCUCGAUGUCGGCUCAUCGCAUCCUGGGGCUGUAGUCGGUCCCAAGGGUUGGGCUGUUCGCCCAUUAAAGCGGUACGCGAGCUGGGUUCAGAACGUCGUGAGACAGUUCGGUCCCUAUCCGUCGUGGGCGUAGGAAAUUUGAGAGGAGCUGUCCUUAGUACGAGAGGACCGGGAUGGACAUACCUCUGGUGUACCAGUUGUCGUGCCAACGGCAUAGCUGGGUAGCUAUGUGUGGACGGGAUAAGUGCUGAAAGCAUCUAAGCAUGAAGCCCCCC
This 2786-nucleotide ribosomal RNA is filed under the name Staphylococcus aureus. RNAcentral describes it as "bacterial LSU rRNA". It matches the Rfam family "Bacterial large subunit ribosomal RNA". The record is from RNAcentral. Lineage: Bacteria; Bacillati; Bacillota; Bacilli; Caryophanales; Staphylococcaceae.